Long non-coding RNA from Suricata suricatta (meerkat), 432 nucleotides. RefSeq lists it as uncharacterized. Lineage: Eukaryota; Metazoa; Chordata; Mammalia; Carnivora; Herpestidae. The record is from RefSeq and is a predicted model, not a curated record. The transcript is spliced from 3 exons.
GUUAGCUUUUUCCAGCAAUCACAACACCAAGUUUCUAUUCAUCAGCCACAAUCGACCCUUUGUUAUCAUUAUUGUUCCUUUAUGUGAUAUGAGCGAGAAGGUUCUUGUCUCCAAUUCUGCUGUGUUUCCAGCAGCGUGAAUCAAAACCCACUAGUGAAGAGAUGAGCAUGCCAUCAUCUCAGCUCCAGGCAUUCCCAUAAAGUCAACUGCUCUACCAAAAGUGUCGUCCCGGAAGUAAAAGUGCAACUAAGGACCGUUGUUUGAUCCGGCUAAAGGCAACGAAGCAGAAAGUGUGGGUCAAAAAGUAAUGAGAUGCACGGGCUAAUCAGCAGCAGCGAUUUCUAGAGUCAGAAUUUGCCUUAGACCAAGGAUAUGGGACAAAUGGCAUGUUCUGUUAAAGUUUAUUUUUGGAAUAAGAGCAUCAAUAAUACA